Oncorhynchus nerka (sockeye salmon) is the source of this 1602-nucleotide long non-coding RNA. RefSeq lists it as uncharacterized. The transcript has 3 exons. Lineage: Eukaryota; Metazoa; Chordata; Actinopteri; Salmoniformes; Salmonidae. The record is from RefSeq and is a predicted model, not a curated record.
AUCACGCUUGCUUGCUUAGCGAGUACCACUUCGGACCAUACCUGGAGCGAGCUCAGAUCCUCUGCCUUGCUAGCUAGCACAAGUAACCACUCUCCUGAAGAGUCUUACCAGUCAACGCCACAUGAAAAGAUAGCUGAAGCCUGAAGUGGGGACCCUUCAGGCUGAGGAGACAGAACAUGGACACAAUGCAAUUGCGAUCAAGGAGAAGAAAUGCCGAAGUAUCUGGAUGGUCAGUGGAGGAUGUCUGCCAGUGGCUUCAGCAAAAUCAGUUGGCGGACUUACACCUCUCCUUUCCAAAGUUUUACAUUUAAAUACAUCAAUUGCAUGCAAGGUCCAACCAAAACCUGAUUUCCGCUUUUAACGCAACUACCGUGUAGCUCUUGUUAUGGGGGUGUUUUAACUGCCUUACUCAAGGACAGAAGAACAGAUUUUUUCACCUUGUCGGCUGGACAAUUCGAAUGCUUUAAAUCCUAGGCUACCUGCCAGUCAAAAUGACUGCUUUGUAUAACUGCCUAAUAUGGAACACGCAUUUUUUUUUGCUCAUAAAACAGAUUUGCCACAUUGGUCUGUAUCACCAGAGUGAAUACUGGAGCAAUACUGCUGUAAAGAAAUGGGAAUGGUUAGACUGAGUGAGAUACAUCUGAGUGGUGAAGAACAGGACAGAGGCAGUUUUCAAUACAUACAAUACCUGACCUUUUGAAGAAGGUGGCACAAAAUGAAGAUGUUUGGGCAAGCUUAAAUAAAGAAGAAGAACAUGCCAAUGAUAAAAUCUUGAGUGAUUUCACAGAUGAGGGAUUUUUCAAGAGCAAUCCCUUGCUCAAGCAAAAACAAACAAUGUGACUUCAUUUUUAUAUAGAUGAAUUUGAGGUUGUCAAUCCACUUGGAUCAAUAAAAGGAAAACAAUAUUUCAGCUGUGUACAGUUGAAGUCGGAAGAUUACAUACAUCUUAGUUUUCCACAAUUCCUGACAUUUAAUCCUAGUAAAAAUUCCCUGUCUUAGGUCAGUUACAAUCACCAAUUUAUUUUAAGAAUGUGAAAUAUCAGAAUAAUAGUUGAGAGAAUGAUUUAUUUCAGCUUUUAUUUAUUUCAUCACAUUCUCAGUGGGUCCGAAGUUUACAUACACUUAGUAUUUGGUAGCAUUGCUUUUAAAUUGUUUAACUUGAGUCAAACGUUACAGGUAGCCAACCACAAGCUUCCCACAAUAAAUUGGGUGAAUUUUGGCCCAUUCCUCUUGACAGAGCUGGUGUAACUGAGUCAGGUUUGUAGGCCUCCUUGCUCGCAUGCUCUUUUUAAGUUCUGCCCACACAUUUUCUAUGUGAUUGAGGUCAGGGCUUUGUAAUGGCCACUCCAAUACCUUGACUUUGUUGUCCUUAAGCCAUAACUUUGGAAGUAUGCUUGGAGUCAUUGUCCAUUUGGAAGACCCAUAUGCGACCAAGCUUUAACUUCCUGACUGAUGUCUUGAGAUGUUGCUUCAAUAUAUCCACAUAAUUUUCCUACCUCAUGAUGCCAUCUAUUUUGUGAAGUGCACCAGUCCCUCCUGCAGCAAAACACCCCCACAACAUGAUGCUGCCACCCCUGUGCUUCACGGUUGGGAUGGUGUUAU